This 630-nucleotide ribosomal RNA is filed under the name Entrophospora claroidea. RNAcentral describes it as "partial 28S large subunit ribosomal RNA". It matches the Rfam family "Eukaryotic large subunit ribosomal RNA", at positions 167 to 648 of the family's 3401-position model. Lineage: Eukaryota; Fungi; Glomeromycota; Glomeromycetes; Entrophosporales; Entrophosporaceae. The record is from RNAcentral.
UGGGCUCGCGGCCGGUAGAAGUUCUUUGGAACAGGACAUCAUAGAGGGUGACAAUCCCGUCUGCGACCGGUCGUGCGUUCAUCUACGAUACGCUUUCAAAGAGUCGAGUUGUUUGGGAUUGCAGCUCCAGAUGGGUGGUAAACAUCACCUAAGGCUAAAUAUUGGCGAGAGACCGAUAGCGAGCAAGUACCGUGAGGGAAAGAUGAAAAGAACUUUGAAAAGAGAGUUAAACAGUACGUGAAAUUGUUGAAAGGGAAACGAUUGAAGUCAGUCGUGCUGGCGCGAAAUCAACCCUCUCAUCGGGAGAUCACAUGUUGUGGCGAGCCUCAAAACCGCCACAGCGUGUGAUCUCACGAUGAGGGGGAGCACUUUUGUGUCCGCUGGUUAACAUCAAUUUCGAACGUCAUAAAAAGGCUGGAGGGAUGUGGCUCCUUCGGGAGUGCUAUAACCUUUAGCGGAAUGUGGUGGUCGGGAUUGAGGAUUGCAACGAAUACCUUUAGGGCUGUUCCACCUGGCUUCUCUUUGGUAUCCUGGUGACGACAGCUUGCUGACGUUGUUAGGAUUCGCCUUUGAACAGGCUAGAGUGUGAGCAAAUUCGUUAAGGGUGUUGACGUAAUGGCUUUAAACGAC